Molecule: small RNA, 424 nt
Filed under: Pan troglodytes (chimpanzee)
Lineage: Eukaryota; Metazoa; Chordata; Mammalia; Primates; Hominidae
Description: processed transcript
Source: RNAcentral
AAGGCUAUGACUCCACCGCCAACCCCACUGUGUCCAACGUGUUCUCCACAGCCGCCUUCCGCUUCGGCCACGCCACGAUCCACCCGCUGGUGAGGAGGCUGGACGCCAGCUUCCAGGAGCACCCCGACCUGCCCGGGCUGUGGCUGCACCAGGCCUUCUUCAGCCCAUGGACACUCCUCCGUGGAGGUUACAAUGAGUGGAGGGAGUUCUGCGGCCUGCCUCGCCUGGAGACCCCCGCUGACCUGAGCACAGCCAUCACCAGCAGGAGCGUGGCCGACAAGAUCCUGGACUUGUACAAGCAUCCUGACAACGUCGAUGUCUGGCUGGGAGGCUUAGCUGAAAACUUCCUCCCCAGGGCUCGGACAGGGCCCCUGUUUGCCUGUCUCAUUGGGAAGCAGAUGAAGGCUCUGCGGGACGGUGACUG